UUGAGUUUGGAUCAUGGCUCAGAUUGAACGCUGGCGGCAGGCCUAACACAUGCAAGUCGAGCGGUAACAUUUCUAGCUUGCUAGAAGAUGACGAGCGGCGGACGGGUGAGUAAUACUUGGGGAUCUGCCUGAUGGCGGGGGACAACCACUGGAAACGGUGGCUAAUACCGCAUAAUGCCUACGGGCCAAAGUGUGGGACCUUCGGGCCACAUGCCAUCAGAUGAACCCAAGCGAGAUUAGCUAGUUGGUGAGGUAACGGCUCACCAAGGCGACGAUCUCUAGCUGGUCUGAGAGGAUGAUCAGCCACACUGGGACUGAGACACGGCCCAGACUCCUACGGGAGGCAGCAGUGGGGAAUAUUGGACAAUGGGCGCAAGCCUGAUCCAGCCAUGCCGCGUGUGUGAAGAAGGCCUUCGGGUUGUAAAGCACUUUCAGUGGUGAGGAAGGCGUUGUCGUUAAUAGCGGCAACGAUUGACGUAGCCCAGAGA
Molecule: ribosomal RNA, 488 nt
Filed under: gamma proteobacterium M18-C7
Lineage: Bacteria; Pseudomonadati; Pseudomonadota; Gammaproteobacteria
Description: bacterial SSU rRNA
Rfam family: Bacterial small subunit ribosomal RNA
Source: RNAcentral